Molecule: ribosomal RNA, 521 nt
Filed under: Nothopsyche ruficollis
Lineage: Eukaryota; Metazoa; Arthropoda; Insecta; Trichoptera; Limnephilidae
Description: partial 16S ribosomal RNA
Source: RNAcentral
GUCUUUUUGAUAAAUAAUUUAAAGUCUAAUCUGCCCCCUGAAAUUAUUUUAAAGGGCUGCGGUAUCCUAACCGUACAAAGGUAGCAUAAUAAUUAGGUUUUUAAUUGAAAUCUUGAAUGAAUGAUUGGACGAGAUAUGAGCUGUUUUAAAAUAUAAAUUUGAAUUUAAUUUUUUAGUUAAAAAGCUAAAAUAUUUUUAAAAGACGAGAAGACCCUAUAAAUCUUUAUAAUUUAUUUAUUUUAAUUAAUUAUUUUAAUAAAAUUAAUUUAAAUAAUAAAAUUAUUUUAUUGGGGUGAUAUAAAAAUUUUUUAAACUUUUUAUAAUUAUAACACUAUAAUUAAAGAUUUAUAAAAUAUAUGAUCUAUUAAUAAUAAUUAAAAGAAAAAGAUACUUUAGGGAUAACAGCGUAAUUUUAAUAUUAAGUUCAUAUUAUUAUUAAAGAUUGCGACCUCGAUGUUGGAUUAAAAUUUAAUUUAAAUGCAAAAGUUUAAAAAUUAAGUCUGUUCGACUUUUAAAAUUUU